AGAGCGAACGCUGGCGGCAUGCUUAACACAUGCAAGUCGCACGGUUGGGGCAACUCCGGCAGUGGCGGACGGGUGAGUAACGCGUAGGUAUUUAUCCAUGGGUGGGGGACAACCGCGGGAAACCGCGGCUAAUACCGCAUGAUGCCUGAGGGCCAAAGCUCGCGAGAGCGCCUGGGGAGGAGCCUGCGUCCGAUUAGCUAGUUGGUGGGGUAACGCCUACCAAGGCGUCGAUCGGUAGCUGGUCUGAGAGGAUGAUCAGCCACACUGGGACUGAGACACGGCCCAGACUCCUACGGAGGCAGCAGUGGGGAAUAGUUGGACAAUGGGCGCAAGCCUGAUCCAGCAAAUGCCGCGUGGGUGAAGAAGGUCUUCGGAUUGUAAAGCCCUUUCGACGGGACGAUGAUGACGGUACCCGUAGAAGAAGCCCCGGCUAACUUCGUGCCAGCAGCCGC
RNAcentral lists this ribosomal RNA (452 nucleotides) under uncultured bacterium. RNAcentral describes it as "SSU rRNA". It matches the Rfam family "Bacterial small subunit ribosomal RNA", at positions 26 to 518 of the family's 1533-position model. The record is from RNAcentral.